CUCCUCUUAGCUCAGUUGGUAGAGUGCCCUGUUUGGAACGGGGAAGUCGAAGGUUCGAGUCCUUCAGGGGUGA
This 73-nucleotide transfer RNA is filed under the name Pseudomonas phage phiPMW. It matches the Rfam family "tRNA". From Rfam's summary of the family: Transfer RNA (tRNA) molecules are approximately 80 nucleotides in length. Their secondary structure includes four short double-helical elements and three loops (D, anti-codon, and T loops). The record is from Rfam by way of RNAcentral. Lineage: Duplodnaviria; Heunggongvirae; Uroviricota; Caudoviricetes.